AUUGAACGCUGGCGGCAGGCCUAACACAUGCAAGUCGAGCGGUAGAGAGAAGCUUGCUUCUCUUGAGAGCGGCGGACGGGUGAGUAAUACCUAGGAAUCUGCCUGAUAGUGGGGAUAAAACGUUCGGAAAACGGACGCUAAUACCGCAUACGUCCUACGGGAGAAAGCAGGGGACCUUCGGGCCUUGCGCUAUCAGAUGAGCCUAGGUCGGAUUAGCUAGUUGGUGAGGUAAUGGCUCACCAAGGCUACGAUCCGUAACUGGUCUGAGAGGAUGAUCAGUCACACUGGAACUGAGACACGGUCCAGACUCCUACGGGAGGCAGCAGUGGGGAAUAUUGGACAAUGGGCGAAAGCCUGAUCCAGCCAUGCCGCGUGUGUGAAGAAGGUCUUCGGAUUGUAAAGCACUUUAAGUUGGGAGGAAGGGCAGUUACCUAAUACGUGAUUGUCUUGACGUUACCGACAGAAUAAGCACCGGCUAACUCUGUGCCAGCAGCCGCGGUAA
RNAcentral lists this ribosomal RNA (502 nucleotides) under uncultured bacterium. Its description in RNAcentral is "bacterial SSU rRNA". It matches the Rfam family "Bacterial small subunit ribosomal RNA", at positions 30 to 523 of the family's 1533-position model. The record is from RNAcentral.